Molecule: long non-coding RNA, 330 nt
Organism: Olea europaea var. sylvestris
Lineage: Eukaryota; Viridiplantae; Streptophyta; Magnoliopsida; Lamiales; Oleaceae
Exons: 3
Source: RefSeq, a predicted model, not a curated record
AUCAUGGCUAUCUUCCACCACCACAAUGCUGCCGACUCCCAUGCUCCUUCUUGCUCUGGAGGCGUGGUUUUGGCUUCACAAGAUGAGAAGAUUGUAUGGGAGAACACACUGAAUGCUCGUUUUGAUGUUAUAUUUCGGCAGAAGCUUCCUGAGAUUCGCAAGAAGCUGGUGAAGUGAAUGGUUGACGAAAUUUCUUUGCAAUAAAUAGAGUACUUUUCUGUAUUAGGAUGAGGUCGAGAUUACUCGUACUUUCUCUUUUCCAACAGCAGUUACAUAGGUGUUGUACAUAACCUUAUGGUUUUUGAUAACAUGAGAUUUCAGGAUUUUGGA